RNAcentral lists this ribosomal RNA (440 nucleotides) under uncultured bacterium. Its description in RNAcentral is "partial 16S ribosomal RNA". It matches the Rfam family "Bacterial small subunit ribosomal RNA", at positions 338 to 795 of the family's 1533-position model. The record is from RNAcentral.
CCUACGGGUGGCAGCAGUGGGGAAUAUUGCACAAUGGGGGAAACCCUGAUGCAGCGACGCCGCGUGAGUGAAGAAGUAAUUCGUUACGUAAAGCUCUAUCAGUAGGGAAGCAAAUGAAGGUACCUGAGUAAGAAGCCGAGGCUAACUCUGUGACAGCAGCCGCGGUACUACGAAGGGUGCAAGCGUGAUCCGGAUUUACUGGGGUUAAAGGGAGCGUAGUCGGUUCGCUAAGUGUGGAGUGAAAUGCCGCAGCUUAACUGCGGAACGGCUGUGGAAACUGGCGAACUAGAGUGCGGGAGGGGUAAGCGGAAUUCCCGGUGUAGCAGUGAAAUGCGUAGAUAUUAGGAGGAACACCGGUGGCGAAGGCGGGUUACUGGACCUUAACUGACGUUGAGGCACGAAGGCGUGGGGAGCGAACAGGAUUAGAUACCCUAGUAGUC